UACGUAGGGGGCAAGCGUUGUCCGGAAUCAUUGGGCGUAAAGCGCGCGUAGGCGGCCCGGUAAGUCCGCUGUAAAAGUCCAGGGCUCAACCCUGGAAAGCCGGUGGAUACUGUCGGGCUAGAGUCCGGAAGAGGCGAGUGGAAUUCCCGGUGUAGCGGUGAAAUGCGCAGAUAUCAGGAAGAACACCAAUGGCGAAGGCAGCUCUCUGGGACGGUACUGACACUGAGACGCGAAAGCGUGGGGAGCAAACAGG
This 253-nucleotide ribosomal RNA is filed under the name uncultured bacterium. Its description in RNAcentral is "partial 16S ribosomal RNA". It matches the Rfam family "Bacterial small subunit ribosomal RNA", at positions 524 to 776 of the family's 1533-position model. The record is from RNAcentral.